CCUGGCUCAGGACGAACGCUGGCGGCGUGCCUAAUACAUGCAAGUCGAGCGGACAGAAGGGAGCUUGCUCCCGGAUGUUAGCGGCGGACGGGUGAGUAACACGUGGGUAACCUGCCUGUAAGACUGGGAUAACUCCGGGAAACCGGAGCUAAUACCGGAUAGUUCCUUGAACCGCAUGGUUCAAGGAUGAAAGACGGUUUCGGCUGUCACUUACAGAUGGACCCGCGGCGCAUUAGCUAGUUGGUGGGGUAAUGGCUCACCAAGGCGACGAUGCGUAGCCGACCUGAGAGGGUGAUCGGCCACACUGGGACUGAGACACGGCCCAGACUCCUACGGGAGGCAGCAGUAGGGAAUCUUCCGCAAUGGACGAAAGUCUGACGGAGCAACGCCGCGUGAGUGAUGAAGGUUUUCGGAUCGUAAAGCUCUGUUGUUAGGGAAGAACAAGUGCGAGAGUAACUGCUCGCACCUGACGGUACCUACCAGAAAG
This 487-nucleotide ribosomal RNA is filed under the name Bacillus pumilus. RNAcentral's name for it is "bacterial SSU rRNA". It matches the Rfam family "Bacterial small subunit ribosomal RNA", at positions 18 to 490 of the family's 1533-position model. The record is from RNAcentral. Lineage: Bacteria; Bacillati; Bacillota; Bacilli; Caryophanales; Bacillaceae.